Paramuricea clavata is the source of this 78-nucleotide non-coding RNA. The record is from the annotation of a GenBank genome assembly. Lineage: Eukaryota; Metazoa; Cnidaria; Anthozoa; Malacalcyonacea; Plexauridae.
UUCUCCGUAGCUUAGUGGUGAGAGCACUGCUCCACAAACGCAGAGGCGUACCUAUAGGUUCGAUUCAUGCCGGAGGAC